Molecule: ribosomal RNA, 497 nt
Filed under: uncultured bacterium
Lineage: Bacteria
Description: partial 16S ribosomal RNA
Rfam family: Bacterial small subunit ribosomal RNA
Source: RNAcentral
GAUGAACGUUGGCGGCGUGCCUAAUACAUGCAAGUCGAGCGAACAGAUAAGGAGCUUGCUCCUUUGACGUUAGCGGCGGACGGGUGAGUAACACGUGGGUAACCUACCUAUAAGACUGGGAUAACUUCGGGAAACCGGAGCUAAUACCGGAUAAUAUUUCGAACCGCAUGGUUCGAUAGUGAAAGAUGGUUUUGCUAUCACUUAUAGAUGGACCCGCGCCGUAUUAGCUAGUUGGUAAGGUAACGGCUUACCAAGGCGACGAUACGUAGCCGACCUGAGAGGGUGAUCGGCCACACUGGAACUGAGACACGGUCCAGACUCCUACGGGAGGCAGCAGUAGGGAAUCUUCCGCAAUGGGCGAAAGCCUGACGGAGCAACGCCGCGUGAGUGAUGAAGGUCUUCGGAUCGUAAAACUCUGUUAUUAGGGAAGAACAUACGUGUAAGUAACUGUGCACGUCUUGACGGUACCUAAUCAGAAAGCCACGGCUAACUACGUG